CUCUCAGCCCAGCCACAACAACAUAAGGACUGAGGGUGAUAGUGGCAGUGGGGGCUGUUUGAGUGAUAGAGACAGAGAGAUUGGGGCAGAUUAAAAGAGAAAGAGAGGGAAAGAGAAAUGGAGAGGGAGAGAAAGAGGGGCGCUUUCACAGUUGCGACAUGAAUCGGCCUGCUGCUGGGGUUGCAGCAGGCGGCGGUGCGGCGUACCCCCCCGAAACCCGUCGCCAAGACCUCACAAGUGACAUGGACCUGGGCCCGCGCGGGGCUCCAUUCACUGACCCUAGCAGCUGAGGACCUGAGCCCUAGGACCAUGCCUCAGGACUACCUGGCCUGAUGACUCCUUGCUGUCCCCAGUCCACCUGGGUGUGCUGCUGCUCCAGUUUCAACUGUACUGGAACCCUGACCUGUUCACCGGACGUGCUACCUGUCCCAGACCUGCUAUUUUCAACUCUCUGGAGACAGCAGGAGCGGUAGAGAUACUCUGAAUGAUCGGCUAUGAAAAUCCAACUGACAUUUACUCCUGAGGUGCUGACCUGUUGCACCCUCUACAACCACUGUGAUUAUUAUUAUUUGACCCUGCUGGUCAUCUAUGAACAUUUGAACAUCUUGGCCAUGUUCUGUUAAAAUCUCCACCCGGCACAGCCAGAAGAGGACUGGCCACCCCUCAUAGCCUGGUUCCUCUCUAGGUUUCGUCCUAGGUUCUAGCCUUUCUAGGGAGUUUUUCCUAGCCACUGUGCUUCUACACCUGCAUUGGUUGCUGUUUGGGGUUUUAGGCUGGGUUUCUGUACAGCACUUUGUGACAUCAGCUGAUGUAAGAAGGGCUUUAGAAAUACAUUUGAUUUAUUGAUUUAUUGAUUGAUUGAUUGAUUGAUUGAUUGAUUGAUUGAUUGAUUGAUUGAUUGUGACUGUCACAGUUGUCGUAGUGAUGAGACCAAAACGCAGCAGGUAUGUGUAUGCUCAUCUUGACGUUUUAAUAAAUUCAAAAUGAACACCAAAAUAACAAAAGAACGAACAAUCAACAAAACAGUCUGGCAAGGCACAAGGCUAAACACAGAACAAUCUCCCACAAAUGACAAACACACCCUAAUAUAUGGGACUCUCAAUCAAAGGCAAAUAGACAACACCUGCCUUCAACUGAGAGUCCCAACCUCAAUUAACCAAACAUAGAAACAGACACACUAGACUAAACAUAGAAUACAUGAAAAUCAAACAGUGCCCAAAAACCCCGGAAUACUUAAAUCAAAUGCCCCUUCAACAAACACACCACCCCGAACCACAUAAAACGAAUACCCUCUGCCACGUCCUGACCAAACUACAAUGACAAUUAACCCUUAUACUGGCCAGGACGUGACAGUGACUAAAAUGUGACUAAAAUGAAAGGGAAUUUAGUUGACUAAAAUGGCCCAGUGUUUUCAUCAUUUUGACAAUAACUAGACUAAAUCAUAUUCAAAUAACAAAAAUGUGACUAAGACUUAAUGAUAUUUCAGUCAAAAUGGCUAAGACUACAUUUUUUAAAAAGAGAGCCAAAAAUUACACUGGACACAUGUGCUGCCCUUCAACAAGCCUGAACGCUUUCUGAUAUUUGGGAGUUCCAUCCUCUCUGUUCCUGUCUGGGCCAGGGCAGAAAUAUUCCCUGGAUACUCUGCAAAAAACAAGGUCCACAUACGGUGCCUUCGGAAAGUAUUCAGACCCCAUGACUUUUUCCACAUUUUGUCACGCUACAACCUUAUUCUAAAAUUGAUUUAAAAAAUAUUUUCCUCAUCAAUCUACAUACAAUACCCCAUAAUGACAAAGCAAAAACAGGUUUAUAGAAAUGUUUGCAAAUUUAUAAAAAGUUAAAAAUUGUUGAGACCCUUUGCUAUGAGACUGUAAAUUGAGCUCGGGUGCAUCCUGUUUCCAUUGAUCAUCCUUCAGAUGUUUCUACAACUUUAUUGGAGUCCACCUGUGCUAAAUUCAAUUGAUUUUGACAUGAUUUGGAAAGGCACACAACUGUCUAUAUAAAGGUCCCACCGUUGACAAUGCAUGUCAGAACAAAAACCAAGCAAUGAGGUUGAAGGAAUUGUAGUGCUCCGAGACAGGACUGUGUUGAGGCACAGAUCUGGGGAAGGGUGGCAAAAAAAUUCUGCGACAUUGAAG
RNAcentral lists this long non-coding RNA (2135 nucleotides) under Salmo salar (Atlantic salmon). RNAcentral describes it as "lncRNA (ENSSSAG00000087258.1)". Lineage: Eukaryota; Metazoa; Chordata; Actinopteri; Salmoniformes; Salmonidae. The record is from RNAcentral.